UAUAGCACGAGGGAUCCACCUCUUCCCAUUCCGAACAGAGAAGUUAAGCCUCGUCACGCCGAUGGUACUGCGUAACAGUGGGAGAGUAGGUAGCCGCCGUUU
Molecule: ribosomal RNA, 102 nt
Filed under: Parabacteroides faecalis
Lineage: Bacteria; Pseudomonadati; Bacteroidota; Bacteroidia; Bacteroidales; Tannerellaceae
Source: RNAcentral